GCCACCUUAGCUCAGUUGGUAGAGCAUUGCACUCGUAACGCAAAGGUCGUCGGUUCGAUCCCGACAGGUGGCU
RNAcentral lists this transfer RNA (73 nucleotides) under Candidatus Campbelliibacteriota bacterium. RNAcentral describes it as "Candidatus Campbellbacteria bacterium tRNA-Thr". It matches the Rfam family "tRNA". Rfam says of the family: Transfer RNA (tRNA) molecules are approximately 80 nucleotides in length. Their secondary structure includes four short double-helical elements and three loops (D, anti-codon, and T loops). Further hydrogen bonds mediate the characteristic L-shaped molecular structure. tRNAs have two regions of fundamental functional importance: the anti-codon, which is responsible for specific mRNA codon recognition, and the 3' end, to which the tRNAs corresponding amino acid is attached (by aminoacyl-tRNA synthetases). tRNAs cope with the degeneracy of the genetic code in two manners: having more than one tRNA (with a specific anti-codon) for a particular amino acid; and 'wobble' base-pairing, i.e. permitting non-standard base-pairing at the 3rd anti-codon position. The record is from RNAcentral. Lineage: Bacteria; Candidatus Campbelliibacteriota.